RNAcentral lists this unclassified non-coding RNA (298 nucleotides) under plant metagenome. Its description in RNAcentral is "partial contains 5.8S ribosomal RNA, internal transcribed spacer 2, and large subunit ribosomal RNA". The stretch from base 1 to 105 matches the Rfam family "5.8S ribosomal RNA", at positions 50 to 154 of the family's 154-position model. The record is from RNAcentral.
GAAAUGCGAUAAGUAAUGUGAAUUGCAGAAUUCAGUGAAUCAUCGAAUCUUUGAACGCACAUUGCGCCCCCUGGUAUUCCGGGGGGCAUGCCUGUUCGAUCGUCAUUUCACCACUCAAGCCUCGCUUGGUAUUGGGCAACGCGGUCCGCCGCGUGCCUCAAAUCGACCGGCUGGGUCUUCUGUCCCCUAAGCGUUGUGGAAACUAUUCGCUAAAGGGUGUUCGGGAGGCUACGCCGUAAAACAACCCCAUUUCUAAGGUUGACCUCGGAUCAGGUAGGGAUACCCGCUGAACUUAAGC